RNAcentral lists this ribosomal RNA (253 nucleotides) under uncultured bacterium. RNAcentral's name for it is "partial 16S ribosomal RNA". It matches the Rfam family "Bacterial small subunit ribosomal RNA", at positions 524 to 776 of the family's 1533-position model. The record is from RNAcentral.
UACGUAGGGUGCAAGCGUUGUCCGGAAUUAUUGGGCGUAAAGAGCUCGUAGGCGGUUUGUCGCGUCUGCUGUGAAAACCGGAGGCUCAACCUCCGGCCUGCAGUGGGUACGGGCAGACUAGAGUGCGGUAGGGGAGAUUGGAAUUCCUGGUGUAGCGGUGAAAUGCGCAGAUAUCAGGAAGAACACCCGUGGCGAAGGCGGCUCUCUGGGACGGUACUGACGCUGAGACGCGAAAGCGUGGGGAGCGAACAGG